GGGGCGGUAGCUCAGCCCGGGAGAGCGCCCGGCUGAAGACCGGGUUGUCGUGGGUUCAAAUCCCACCCGCCCCA
The sequence is a transfer RNA, 74 nucleotides long. It matches the Rfam family "tRNA". From Rfam's summary of the family: Transfer RNA (tRNA) molecules are approximately 80 nucleotides in length. Their secondary structure includes four short double-helical elements and three loops (D, anti-codon, and T loops).